This 518-nucleotide ribosomal RNA is filed under the name uncultured bacterium. Its description in RNAcentral is "partial 16S ribosomal RNA". It matches the Rfam family "Bacterial small subunit ribosomal RNA", at positions 29 to 523 of the family's 1533-position model. The record is from RNAcentral.
AACGAACGCUGGCGGCGUGCCUAACACAUGCAAGUCGAACGGAAUGAAGGGGCUUGCUCUUUCAUUUAGUGGCGCACGGGUGAGUAACGCGUAGAUAAUCUGCCUGAUGAUCCGGGAUAACACUUCGAAAGGGGUGCUAAUACGGGAUAAGCCCACGGGUACUUUGGUAUUUGCGGGAAAAGGGGGGGACCAUUUGGCCUUCUGUCAUCAGAUGAGUCUGCGUACCAUUAGCUAGUUGGUAGGGUAAAGGCCUAACAAGGCGACGAUGGUUAGCUGGUGGGAGAGGAGGACAAGACACAGUGGAACUGAGACACGGUCCAGACUCCUAGGGGAGGCAGAAGGGGGGAAUUUUGCGAAAGGGGGGAAAGCCUGACGCAGCAACGCCGCGGGGGUGAUGAAGGCUUUCGGGUCGUAAAGCUCUGUCAAGGGAAAAGAAGUGUAUUGCGGUUAAUACCCGUGAUACUUGACGGUACCCCUAAAGGAAGCACCGGCUAACUCCGUGCCAGCCGCCGCCGUAA